AAAACGACUCUCGGCAACGGAUAUCUCGGCUCUCGCAUCGAUGAAGAACGUAGCAAACUGCGAUACAUGGUGUGAAUUGCAGAAUCCCGUGAACCAUCGAGUCUUUGAACGCAAGUUGCGCCCGAAGCCAUCAGGCCGAGGGCACGUCUGCCUGGGCGUCACG
This 163-nucleotide ribosomal RNA is filed under the name Sebaea longicaulis. RNAcentral describes it as "5.8S ribosomal RNA". It matches the Rfam family "5.8S ribosomal RNA". Rfam says of the family: 5.8S ribosomal RNA (5.8S rRNA) is a component of the large subunit of the eukaryotic ribosome. It is transcribed by RNA polymerase I as part of the 45S precursor that also contains 18S and 28S rRNA. Functionally, it is thought that 5.8S rRNA may be involved in ribosome translocation. The record is from RNAcentral. Lineage: Eukaryota; Viridiplantae; Streptophyta; Magnoliopsida; Gentianales; Gentianaceae. RNAcentral also lists the same sequence under 21 other names.